UGUUAAUAGCAUACUCUAUUUGUACGUUAGCUGCAGAAGAAGCACCGGACUAACUCCGUCGCCAGCAGCCGACGGUAAGUACGGAGGGUGCGAGACGUUAAGUACGGUAAUUACGUGGGACGUAAAGCGCAUGCAGGUUGGUUUGUUAAGUUAGUAUGUAGAAACGGCCCGGGGCGUACAACCUACGGUAAUUGCUAUUUAGUAAACGUGGACAAACUAGAGUACUGUAGAGGGGGUAGGAAUUUCAGGUGUAGCGGUGAAAUGCGUAGAGAUCUGAAGGAAUACCGGUGGCGAAGGCGGCCCCCUGGACAGAUACUGACACUCAGAUGCGAAAGCGUGGGGAGCAAACAGGAUUAGAUACCCUGGUAG
Molecule: ribosomal RNA, 369 nt
Filed under: uncultured bacterium
Lineage: Bacteria
Description: bacterial SSU rRNA
Rfam family: Bacterial small subunit ribosomal RNA
Source: RNAcentral